RNAcentral lists this ribosomal RNA (468 nucleotides) under uncultured bacterium. RNAcentral describes it as "partial 16S ribosomal RNA". It matches the Rfam family "Bacterial small subunit ribosomal RNA", at positions 28 to 507 of the family's 1533-position model. The record is from RNAcentral.
GAUGAACGCUGGCGGCGUGCUUAACACAUGCAAGUCGAACGGAAAGGCCAGUGCUUGCACUGGUACUCGAGUGGCGAACGGGUGAGUAACACGUGGGUGAUCUGCCCUGCACUUCGGGAUAAGCCUGGGAAACUGGGUCUAAUACCGGAUAGGACAAUGGUUUGGAUGCCGUUGUGGAAAGUUUUUUCGGUGUGGGAUGAGCUCGCGGCCUAUCAGCUUGUUGGUGGGGUAAUGGCCUACCAAGGCGUCGACGGGUAGCCGGCCUGAGAGGGUGUACGGCCACAUUGGGACUGAGAUACAGCCCAGACUCCUACGGGAGGCAGCAGUGGGGAAUAUGGCACAAUGGGCGCAAGCCUGAUGCAGAGACGCCGCGUGGGGGAUGACGGCCUUCGGGUUGUAAACUCCUUUCGCUAGGGACGAAGCGUAUUUGUGACGGUACCUGGAGAAGAAGCACCGGCUAACUACGUG